Molecule: ribosomal RNA, 516 nt
Filed under: uncultured microorganism
Description: bacterial SSU rRNA
Rfam family: Bacterial small subunit ribosomal RNA
Source: RNAcentral
GAGUUUGAUCGUGGCUCAGAUUGAACGCUGGCGGCAGGCCUAACACAUGCAAGUCGAGCGGAUGAAGGGAGCUUGCUCCUGGAUUCAGCGGCGGACGGGUGAGUAAUGCCUAGGAAUCUGCCUGGUAGUGGGGGAUAACGUCCGGAAACGGGCGCUAAUACCGCAUACGUCCUGAGGGAGAAAGUGGGGGAUCUUCGGACCUCACGCUAUCAGAUGAGCCUAGGUCGGAUUAGCUAGUUGGUGGGGUAAAGGCCUACCAAGGCGACGAUCCGUAACUGGUCUGAGAGGAUGAUCAGUCACACUGGAACUGAGACACGGUCCAGACUCCUACGGGAGGCAGCAGUGGGGAAUAUUGGACAAUGGGCGAAAGCCUGAUCCAGCCAUGCCGCGUGUGUGAAGAAGGUCUUCGGAUUGUAAAGCACUUUAAGUUGGGAGGAAGGGCAGUAAGUUAAUACCUUGCUGUUUUGACGUUACCAACAGAAUAAGCACCGGCUAACUUCGUGCCAGCAGCCGCAG